UCCGUAGGGUCCGAGCGUUGUCCGGAAUUACUGGGCGUAAAGAGCUCGUAGGUGGUUUGUCACGUUGUUCGUGAAAACCCACAACUCAAUUGUGGGCGUGCGGGCGAUACGGGCAGACUAGAGUACUGCAGGGGAGACUGGAAUUCCGGGUGUAGUGGUGGAAUGCGUAGAGAUCCGGAGGAACACCAGCGGCGAAGGCGGCAUCCUGGACUGGUCCUGACGCUCAGGAGCGAAAGCGUGGGGAGCGAUCCGG
RNAcentral lists this ribosomal RNA (253 nucleotides) under uncultured bacterium. RNAcentral describes it as "partial 16S ribosomal RNA". It matches the Rfam family "Bacterial small subunit ribosomal RNA", at positions 524 to 776 of the family's 1533-position model. The record is from RNAcentral.